This 643-nucleotide small RNA is filed under the name Pongo abelii (Sumatran orangutan). RNAcentral describes it as "processed transcript". Lineage: Eukaryota; Metazoa; Chordata; Mammalia; Primates; Hominidae. The record is from RNAcentral.
CUUUCUCCGGGAUCUUAAGUGUGGGGGCUGCUGGCUGGGGGGCCCGUCCGGCCCAACGCCGGAGGCUUGGAAAAGAGAGUUGGCAGCGGGAGCGGACUACGUGCCGGGCCAUGGCCCUUCUGCCCGGGCCCUGGCCACAAUGACCUCCUUGCCUUGCCCUCUCCCCGGCCGGGACGCCUCCAAAGCUGUCUUCCCAGACCUCGCCCCCGUCCCGUCGGUAGCGGCUGCCUACCCGCUUGGCCUGUCCCCUACAACCGCAGCCUCCCCCAAUUUGUCCUACUCCAGGCCGUAUGGCCACCUCCUGUCUUACCCCUACACCGAGCCAGCGAACCCUGGAGACUCCUACCUGUCCUGCCAGCAACCCGCGGCGCUCUCUCAGCCCCUCUGCGGACCUGCAGAGCACCCUCAGGAACUCGAGGCAGCAUUCUAGGGCUGGGCUGUCCCGCGGCCGAGAUUCCUGGAGAGCUAGGCGGGCCAGAGCUGACCAGAUCCCCCGCGGCGGCACCGCAGCGCGAUCCAGGAGUGGCCCCGCCGGGCUGCGCUGCGCGCUCUUGGAACCCGGGUCACCUUCCCUGCCGCCGGAACCGCUCUGUGCGCGCUGACCAACGAAGGAAGGGGCUGCCCCACGCAGACCCGGCUUCUG